AUCUUUCAAAAUAAAAUACUGGCAUUUUUCACACACACGGAAUUACAGGAAAGUUGCAGGGUAACGGUGUAUAGGUUCAAAUUUUUUAGGUAAAAUAAAAUCUACCCUUUUCCUUUUGUUUUUACAGGUAGAGGAGGACAGUAAAUCAAAAACAAUGUUUGAUGAUUAAAAAUGUUUCUAGCAGCAUCUCCAUUAAUCUGAAAGCCAUUGGAUUUUUACUUUGUUCAAUGGGAUUCUUUUCACCUAGUUUUGCUUACUAGGAAGUAAACAGCUCAACAACUUCUGAUUGAAGCCGUUUCAUUCAUUGGAGAAACCAUGGCACAGUAUCCUUCAUUGCCAUACAUUUAGGAUAGAGUCAUCAUCUUCUGUCUUUAAUGACCACAGAUGAAGAUUUUACAUUAACAAGGUAAGCUAACUCCCUGCCAGAAUUAUGAAAGUCCACCC
Molecule: non-coding RNA, 444 nt
Organism: Lonchura striata (white-rumped munia)
Lineage: Eukaryota; Metazoa; Chordata; Aves; Passeriformes; Estrildidae
Source: RefSeq, a predicted model, not a curated record